Panicum virgatum (switchgrass) is the source of this 1403-nucleotide long non-coding RNA. RefSeq lists it as uncharacterized. The transcript has 2 exons. Lineage: Eukaryota; Viridiplantae; Streptophyta; Magnoliopsida; Poales; Poaceae. The record is from RefSeq and is a predicted model, not a curated record.
CCUUGAUGGCCACCUCCAACCCACCGUUUCUUUUCAUAUAUCCACCAUUGCACUCCCUACGAACACAUCCAAGUCCAGACCAAACUUAACCACACAGCCAUGUAGCAUCAUGCGAACAUCCUCCGAAUCCUCGAGCUCAGAGCAAGCCUUCAGGAUCCCACCCAGAGCGAAAGCAUCCAGCUUCACCCUGACCGGUGCAUCCAGAUGAGCACAUUCACCGCCACCUCUGGCCAGCCCAUCCGCACAUAGCCGACAGCAGCAGGUUCCACGAAACCUCUUCCCGCUGCAGUGUUCCAUGAUAAGCCACGAGCCCUGGCUGGAGUAACCUGCGAUGAGCGUGUUCCAUGAGACAUUCCGUCGAACAGGAGGUGCGCAUGCCGCAUGUCGCCGCAGCAGGAAUAGGCUGCGAGCAGGUUGUUACACAAGAACAUGCCCAGCGGCAGCCAGCUCGGAGCACGUGGGAGUGUGCUAGCCUGGCCAACACCAACGACCGGGUCUGCGAGGCACGUCGGAGGAGGCCGCUGUAGACCGACGGCUCAAGGGACGGCAGCUGGAGGCGACGGCUUGCACGGCGCGGCAAACGUGGGCGCCGUCCUCGGCCGCCGCGAUGGUGCAGGAGAGGUGCCUAAGGAGGCAAAUGGCCGGUGGAGCCGGAGCUGAAAGGAAAAGCCGGUUUCUUGGAGCCGAGGCCGAGGGGGGAGGUCGGAGGAGCUCGACGACCAAGACUGUGAAGAACAAACUGCGCGGGUAAGGUUAGGACGUGGUGAGAAAAAUAAUUUGUUUUUGACAAAAACGCUCUUCAACAUGCGAUUUUUAUGGGUCUCUACCCUUCCCCCCUCCCACCUCCCUUAGCCCCGACAGGUGAAUCCGGUGUGAGAGGUACGGUGGGCUCGAUUCGGGUGAGAAAUUUUUUUAAUUAUUUUCGAUCUUUAUAAUAUAUAAAUUCAAAGAUCAAGCUGACACAAGACAGCAAGCGUCUUGGUUUCUUCCUUGUUUCGUACAGGCUCAUGCUGGUGCCACAACAACAGACGCAGAAAUCUCUAUAUAUUAUAUAUUAUAUCUAUCAUAUUUCUUAUUUAUGUAUACCACUUCUUGCUCCUCAGCUGGCCACGUCACCCACCAGCAGCUACCGUCGGAUCGCCGAGCCAUUGGCUGUGAUUGGUUGGAGCUGCUUCCCCAUGUAGCGGCUUCCCAUGGUCAUUGUUGCCCUCCAGACUUCCUAAAAAGUCAGCUGCUCCUUGAUGAAAAGUGUGACAGCAAGGUGCCACCAUCAAAUCAUCUCUGCAAGAUAUCAUUUCAAGAAUAGUCUGUUCACGUGUGAAACAUUAGGUUCUGUGAUCUGUUCACUCUUUAUCCUUUAUUUAAUACAUAAUAGUUCAAAAAAAUGUAAUUGGGAGUUUCAA